AGGGGCGGGGACAAGGCUGGAAACCGGAAGCUGCCCGUGCCGCGCCGCGCGUGCGCCAGAAAUCCAAUGACUUGUCAGCCAGAGUAACGGCUGUCGUCAGGUCUUCAGGGUCUCGAGGGUCUUACUCUGUCACCUAGGCUGGAGUACAGUAGUGCGAUCAUGGUUCACCGUAGCCUCGACCUCCCAGGCUCAAGCAAUCCUCCCACCUCAGCUGGCUAAGUAGCUGGAACUACAGACAUAUGCCACCAUGCCUCAUUAAGGGAGAAGAAAGGCAUGAGGAAAAGAGGAAGAUUGUUAUUGUCAAUAUAUUUCAUAUUGGAAAAGGGCUCCAUGCCACAUUUUUGUUCUGUGGCCUUAGCCCCUCUCUCAGCCUAGUUUUGUUUAGCUGUAGAACAGGGAUCCUAGUACUGCAUAAAGUGUUUGUGAAGAAGAAUACAUUAGCUAAUAACAUAAAGGUUUUAAUACAGUGCAUAUCAUACAGCCUGGCCAACAUGGCGAAACCCCAUCUCUACUAAAAAUACAAAAAAUCAGCUGGGCGUGAUGGUGUGCCUAUAGUCCCUGCUACUUGGGAGGCUGAGGCAGGAGAAUCAAUUGAGCCUGUGAGGCGGGGGUUGCAGUGAGCUGAGAUUGCGCCACAGCACUCCAGCCUGGGCGACAGAGUGAGUGAGACUCCAUCCCAAAAAAAAAAAUAAAUAAAGCCUAUCUUCCGGCCAGAAUAUAAACUCCAUGGAUGGCAUUUGUCUCAGUUAACACUCUUUCUCUAAUAGCUCCUGAAUUGCCUGCUAGAAUCGCCUAUAGGAAGACAUGACAUUAUGGGGAAUGCGUUAAGUAGCUCCCAACAUGGUCAUGUGCUCACACUAGGACUAAGAUACUGUUAUUAAAUAAAUCAUGGAAAAAUGAACUUAGAAAGGGAUAUGAAGGAUUAGCCAGUAAGUCUCUGUAAAACAUAAGGGAAUUAUAUCCAUAUUACCUUGUAUAUAAAAUGCCUUAUUUUUCAGCAUUCUUUUUUUUUGUUGUUUUUUUGAGACAGGAUCUCUUACUCUAUGGCCCAGGCUGGAUUGCAGUGGCAUGAUCUUGGCUCGCUGCAGUCUCAACCUCCUGGGCUCAAGCAGUCCUCCCACUAUAGCCUCCCGAGUAGCUGGGACUACGGGUGUGCAUCACCAUGCCAGGCUAAUUUUUGUAUUUUUCGUAGAGGGGGUUUCCACCAUGUCACCCAGGCUGGUCUCGAACUCCUGAGCUCAAGCAAUCUGCCUGCCUUGGCCUCUCAAAUUGCUGAGAUUCACACGCAUGAGCCCAGCCAUUUUUCAGCACAUUCUUUAGGCAAUUUCCUUUCAGCAUUUUAGAGUAGUAAGUACUCUAAGUAGAAUUUACCAAGUUCUUGGUCUUCAUAAAUUGACAACCUCUUAUUUUGUAGGUUAUAGUGCCAUCAUGUGGAUACUUUGUUUUCUUCAAAUAAAAUGUAACCUUUUUAUAACAGAAACUAGAAAACCCAGCCAUCCCAACACCCAGGUGAAGAAAAUGUGAGCCAGAGAGACUCCAUCCAAUGUUAGAUAAAAGGAACAUGCAAGGAGCAUUGGAAAACAUCAACCUUUAAGGAGUAGGUCAGAAAAAAAGAACCAGCCAAGACAUUUGGAAGUGUGGUGUGUCAGUGUGGAUUGGCCAGCCUGUGCCUGGGGACCCCAUUGUCCCCCUAUUCUUUCCCUUUACCUCUCCAUCAGUAGCAGUGGCUGGAGUAGAGGAAUUGUGAAAUGAUCUGGACAUGCCUGAAAUGGGAAAACAGGGAAUGCUUUAACUGGAUCAUUAUCCUGGAAGCACUUUGACAUGAGAUAUACCUUUUUCCCAAGUCCUAAACUCUUGUGGAGCAGCACAAACCAACAUUGAGGCUUUUCUCCCUUUCCCUCAGGUAGACAUGAUAGCCAAGGCAGCUGAUUGUCCCGAAGAAUAAGUAUGAGCACAGAGGGAAAAUCAUGAAACAUCUGAGGACCAUGAGAACUGCUAAAACAAUACAUAGAACUAGCUAUACCAGAGAAAGUCAAGUGAAUGGAUCAGACAAUAAGAAUUGAAAAUAAGCUUAAUAGAGCUUCAGAGAAAGAAGGGAGAAUGUUGGAAACACAAAGCACAAACAAGCAUUUGUGAAUUGGAUGUUGACAAAUAUUAAUGAAAUAACUCAAUGGAUGGGUUGAAUAUAGCUGGACAGUUCACUCAUGAACCGGAAGAUUAGAGCAAGGAAGGAACUAAGAAAUGGAAAGCAUGAAAGGAGAGUUAAGAAAUGUGGAAGGUAGAAGCAUAAAUAUUUUUCUAAUGGAAAUUCCAGAAGGGGAAAAAAAAGAACAUGUGAAAGAAUUAUUGCUGAGAAUUUCCCAGAAUUGAAGACAUACUUUAGAAUGAAAAAGGCCAACUCUAACUUUGGGAUUUCUAGCUUCGGAGGAAUGAAAAUUUAGAAUGACCAAGGGGAGUGCACAGGAUUUUUUGGGCAGUGAAACUAUUCUGCAUGAUACUAUAAUGGUGGAUGCAUGCUAUUACACAUUUGUCAAAACCCAUUGAAUGUACAUCACUGAGAAUGAAGCCUAAUGUAUGCACUUUGG
Pan troglodytes (chimpanzee) is the source of this 2585-nucleotide long non-coding RNA. RefSeq lists it as uncharacterized. NCBI's taxonomy places the organism in Eukaryota, Metazoa, Chordata, Mammalia, Primates, Hominidae. The transcript is spliced from 3 exons. The record is from RefSeq and is a predicted model, not a curated record.